Molecule: long non-coding RNA, 1902 nt
Filed under: Ananas comosus (pineapple)
Lineage: Eukaryota; Viridiplantae; Streptophyta; Magnoliopsida; Poales; Bromeliaceae
Description: long non-coding RNA (ACOM_LNC000986)
Source: RNAcentral
CUUAAUGCGCCUGGAUAUUUUUAAUAUUUUUUAGGGUUAAUAACAUAUAGCCUUCUAUAAUUAAACAUAUCGGCAAAGUUCAACUUUUCACCUUUAUCCUUGUAAAAAUUUAAUAAUAUUUAUAUUUGUCACUUUAAUUUGUUAUCGUUAGAGCACUUUUUUUAACGGUAGAUAAAUAAAAUGAUAUUUUUGCUAUCACAAAUACGUCACUUUAAAAGUCCCAACGAUUAGAAUUAUAUAAAAAUAUCCUCCAAAAAGUCAUCUUCUUACAAUAGGAUAAUUAUAAUAUAAGACGGGUAAAAAAAUCAAUUUAUCUCAUUCACUAAUUAGAAUUAAGUAGUUUACCUAUAGUUAACUAUAUUUUUCUAACGAAUCCUAACAGUAAGGGUAUAUUCGAAAUCGUUAGGAUUUUUGCAGAGAUGAAAAUGAAUAGUUGAAUUUUCGUAGGAAUAUAUUUGCUAUUCGAUAUGUUUACAGCGAGCUGUUUGCAAUUAAUCUUUUUUUUUUAUGUUAAAAUGUACAAAACUUGUCUAAACAAUAGAUCAUUUUAAGUCGGUUAUCUAAUCUUUCAAACUUUUGAUUUUAAUGUCCAAUGUGAGUCAGUCAACGCUAUUUUGACUUCAAAAUGUAACUAAUUGUUUACUUUAAUAAAUUUAUAUAUAGUUGCGAAUUGUAUGACAUAUACUAAUUAACGCAUUCAAAUUUUGGAACAAAAGUGUCGUUGACCGGCUCAAACCACAAAUUGAAAAUUUAGAUAGUAAAACUAAUAUUAUAAAAGAUGGAUAGACAAAUGAAAAAGAUUCAUGAGUCUGGCUUCAGUGCUUCUAAUAACACCAAGCAUUUGGCGUUAUCAAGUUUUUCACCGUUAGAUUUAUUUUAUUUUAACAAUUUCUGUUCGUAAGAUUAUUCAACGAACCACCCACUCAACUUUAAAGGAGCACUAUAUUUCUAACCGCACAUCCCUUCAUCUAAGGAUUGGAAACUUAAUAGCACAAAUGACUUAAUACUAUUAGAAACAUUCUGGUCUAAUUCAAUGAUUGUUUAGACAAAUUAUAUAUAUAUAUAUAUAUAUAUAUAUAUAUAUAUUUUAUAAUAAAUGAUCAUAGUUACUUGAAUCUAAAUUCAUUUCAAUUUAGCCAUUUGGAUCCUAAAUUUUAAUUUAUAUUUUUCACAAUCACUCUCUCUCUCUCUCUCUCUCUCUCUCUAUAUAUAUAUAUAUAUAUUUUAUAAUAAUAAUAAUUAUUAGAACGUGUGGACACACCCUUAACUAAUAACUAGUUAAGGGGCCCUGCACGAUGCGCCAGGAAGACAAUACAACAAUAAAUUAUUAUAACUAUUAACAUUAUUUUUUCUAUUAUACAUUAAUAUUUUUAAAUAUUAUUUAUUUUAGUAUUGAAUAAUUAAAAAUUACAGAAUAAAUUAAAGAAUGAAAUUAAAGUAUAUUUUUUCUAAAAAUAUUUAAACCUAAUAAGUAAAAUGAAUAAAUUAAUUUAAAAUAAAAUAAAAACUCAUUACAGUAUUAAGAAUAAAUAAUAUUUUUCUAUUAUCAUCAAGAUAGAAUUUGUAAUAAAAUAAAAUAAAAUAAUUAAUUGAAGUGAAAGUACUAUCUUUGUAUUCUUGGCGGCAGCGUUUUCAUUGUGCCCUCAAUAACUUUUACCGUCACACGUAUAACUAAUAAAGUAUUUGAUUCCUAAAUUUUAAAUUAGUGAAGAAAUCAGCAGAUAAUUUGUCGUACCCCUAGAAUUCAGCAUUUGAGGCUUGUCGACAGCUCUGGAGAGUGUCGGGACAAGUCCGAGUCGCGUUGGCGCGAAAUAGACGCAAAACGGACUCAGCGUGACGCAAGAGUAGGAAGUUAGCACUAAAAUAUGUAAAUUUCAGAUUUUCAGCAUUGGUACUAGUACA